AAGGAAUGAAACCAUAAGUUUCCACGCCCAACUUUAAUAAUCUAUUUUAUUUGAAAAAUUUUUAUAAUUAGUAUUUUUGUUUUUAUGAGAUGAGAAAACAUGAAUAGUACUUUACUCGUGACUUAUGUUUUUAAUUCUUUUCAAAAAAUUUUCAAAAAAGAGGACAGUCAAAGUUGGAUGCGGAAAACCAUCGCUGCACUUAAA
Oryza meridionalis is the source of this 204-nucleotide non-coding RNA. The record is from Rfam. Lineage: Eukaryota; Viridiplantae; Streptophyta; Magnoliopsida; Poales; Poaceae.